This 586-nucleotide ribosomal RNA is filed under the name uncultured bacterium. RNAcentral describes it as "bacterial SSU rRNA". It matches the Rfam family "Bacterial small subunit ribosomal RNA", at positions 338 to 916 of the family's 1533-position model. The record is from RNAcentral.
CCUACGGGAGGCAGCAGUGGGGAAUUUUGGACAAUGGGCGAAAGCCUGAUCCAGCAAUGCCGCGUGAGUGAAGAAGGCCUUCGGGUUGUAAAGCUCUUUUGUCAGGGAAGAAACGGUAUGGGCUAAUAUCCCGUGCUAAUGACGGUACCUGAAGAAUAAGCACCGGCUAACUACGUGCCAGCAGCCGCGGUAAUACGUAGGGUGCAAGCGUUAAUCGGAAUUACUGGGCGUAAAGCGUGCGCAGGCGGUUUUGUAAGUUUGUCGUGAAAUCCCCGGGCUCAACCUGGGAAUGGCGAUGAAGACUGCAAGGCUAGAAUCUGGCAGGGGGGGGUAGAAUUCCACGUGUAGCAGUGAAAUGCGUAGAGAUGUGGAGGAACACCGAUGGCGAAGGCAGCCCCCUGGGUCAAGAUUGACGCUCAUGCACGAAAGCGUGGGGAGCAAACAGGAUUAGAUACCCUGGUAGUCCACGCCCUAAACGACGUCUACUAGUUGUCGGGUUUUAAUUAACUUGGUAACGCAGCUAACGCGUGAAGUAGACCGCCUGGGGAGUACGGUCGCAAGAUUAAAACUCAAAAUGAAUUGACGG